This 439-nucleotide long non-coding RNA is filed under the name Numida meleagris (helmeted guineafowl). RNAcentral's name for it is "lncRNA (ENSNMEG00000021343.1)". The record is from RNAcentral. Lineage: Eukaryota; Metazoa; Chordata; Aves; Galliformes; Numididae.
AUGUAUUUACAGCCUGAACAGAUACAUUCCUUAACAGUCCAGUUGGUAAUCUCAGCCAGGAGGUCAAGAUUUGAAAGAACACUGAAAAAUGAAAUACUAGGCCAAGAUUACAGUAUUCUGUUUGAAGAUGUGUACAGAUGGCUUUGUUGGAAGGUGGAGCACAGCUCAGUGACACUGAGCAGAGUGGUAGGAAGCAGCAGCUGUCCCUUCAGGAGCUUAUGGCAAAAAUAGUCAAAGACAGCAGUUCAGCAGCUUGGCUGUGUGAGCCAUAACUCCAUGGAGAGGGAACCAGUCACCUUUUAAGAUUAAAUCCAUCUCUGCUUCAUAUUUCCUGCAUAUCCCUUGUUGAAUACAAGGUGACAAAAUCCACAUGUUGAGUUCACAACAUGUUUGAGAAUAAGGAGAUCAUUAACUGGGUGCACAUCCUGACAGUGCUUGU